RNAcentral lists this ribosomal RNA (274 nucleotides) under uncultured bacterium. RNAcentral's name for it is "partial 16S ribosomal RNA". It matches the Rfam family "Bacterial small subunit ribosomal RNA", at positions 523 to 796 of the family's 1533-position model. The record is from RNAcentral.
AUACGGAGGGUGCAAGCGUUAAUCGGAAUUACUGGGCGUAAAGCGUACGUAGGCGGUUAUUUAAGUCAGAUGUGAAAGCCCCGGGCUUAACUUGGGAACUGCAUUUGAAACUGGGUAACUAGAGUUUAGUAGAGGGGAGUGGAAUUUCAGGUGUAGCGGUGAAAUGCGUAGAGAUCUGAAGGAACACCAGUGGCGAAGGCGACUCCCUGGACUAAAACUGACGCUGAGGUACGAAAGCGUGGGUAGCAAACAGGAUUAGAUACCCUAGUAGUCC